Molecule: transfer RNA, 66 nt
Filed under: Agrianome spinicollis
Lineage: Eukaryota; Metazoa; Arthropoda; Insecta; Coleoptera; Cerambycidae
Description: tRNA-Pro
Source: RNAcentral
CAAGGAAUAGUUUAAUUAAAAUUUUAAUUUUGGAGAUUAAAGAUGGAGGUAUUCUUCUUUCCUUGA